This 116-nucleotide ribosomal RNA is filed under the name uncultured bacterium. RNAcentral describes it as "partial 16S ribosomal RNA". It matches the Rfam family "Bacterial small subunit ribosomal RNA", at positions 1369 to 1482 of the family's 1533-position model. The record is from RNAcentral.
CGUUCCCGGGCCUUGUACACACCGCCCGUCACACCACGAAAGUCGGCAACACCCGAAGCCAGUGGCCCAACCCCUUAGGGAGGGAGCUGUCGAAGGUGGGGUCGGCGAUUGGGGUG